AGCGAUUCUCAAUUUAUCAGGGUCCAGCAAUAAAAAACCCCGACUUAAUCGGGGUUUUUUAUUAUCUAAAUUUCCUUUUUAAGGGUUUUAGGUAUUUGCUUGGUAUUUAAAUUGGGCUCUAAGCCCUUUUUUU
Vibrio cholerae O1 is the source of this 133-nucleotide regulatory RNA element. It matches the Rfam family "Gammaprotebacteria rimP leader". Lineage: Bacteria; Pseudomonadati; Pseudomonadota; Gammaproteobacteria; Vibrionales; Vibrionaceae. The record is from Rfam.